CCUACGGGAGGCAGCAGUGGGGAAUAUUGCACAAUGGGCGCAAGCCUGAUGCAGCCAUGCCGCGUGUAUGAAGAAGGCCUUCGGGUUGUAAAGUACUUUCAGCGGGGAGGAAGGCGACGGGGUUAAUAACCGCGUCGAUUGACGUUACCCGCAGAAGAAGCACCGGCUAACUCCGUGCCAGCAGCCGCGGUAAU
RNAcentral lists this ribosomal RNA (194 nucleotides) under uncultured bacterium. Its description in RNAcentral is "partial 16S ribosomal RNA". It matches the Rfam family "Bacterial small subunit ribosomal RNA", at positions 338 to 524 of the family's 1533-position model. The record is from RNAcentral.